CGCACAGUAAACGAUGAAUACCAGCUGUUGGCGAUAGACAGUCAGCGGCGUAAGCGAAAGCGUUAAGUAUUCCACCUGGGGAGUACGCCGGCAACGGUGAAACUCAAAGGAAUUGACGGGGGCCCGCACAAGCGGAGGAACAUGUGGUUUAAUUCGAUGAUACGCGAGGAACCUUACCCGGGCUCAAACGGAAGAGGAGCGUGCGUGAAAGCGUGCGGUCCGCAAGGACCUCUUCCGAGGUGC
Molecule: ribosomal RNA, 243 nt
Filed under: uncultured bacterium
Lineage: Bacteria
Description: partial 16S ribosomal RNA
Rfam family: Bacterial small subunit ribosomal RNA
Source: RNAcentral